This is a long non-coding RNA of Periophthalmus magnuspinnatus, 425 nucleotides long. RefSeq lists it as uncharacterized. Lineage: Eukaryota; Metazoa; Chordata; Actinopteri; Gobiiformes; Gobiidae. The transcript is spliced from 3 exons. The record is from RefSeq and is a predicted model, not a curated record.
UUUCUGGUGUGUGGUUCAUAACUGCAGAGGAUCAGAGCGACGGGGGCAGAACUAACAAAUGUGCGGGGUCAAUUGGUUUCCCAAGGGGACGCUGUUGAGAAGCUGGCUCACCAAGUCGCGUCCCCGUCUGCUGCUGCUGAUCGCCGGACUCAAGCGGCCCCAGGUCACGCUAAUGCGUCGCAAACGGAUGAAGCGUACCAAAGUUGCCAAGACCACGUAAGCACCGAACCUACAGUCGGAUGCCCCAUUUCUCGUGAGCGCUGCGCCUUCCGGAUCCGUGCCGCCGAGAAAACGCUCCUCCGCCAUGUUGGAUCAGAGCCCCGCCCCCCACGGACAAACCCCGCCCCCAGGCCCCGCCCAGUCCAGGUCCGGUCCGGCCCACAGAGGUCCAGGCCCCCGGACUAAGGCCCAGACUGAACCCUCCU